RNAcentral lists this ribosomal RNA (531 nucleotides) under Polypedates leucomystax (Java whipping frog). RNAcentral's name for it is "partial 16S ribosomal RNA". It matches the Rfam family "Bacterial large subunit ribosomal RNA", at positions 1243 to 2123 of the family's 2925-position model. Lineage: Eukaryota; Metazoa; Chordata; Amphibia; Anura; Rhacophoridae. The record is from RNAcentral.
AUACCACUAAUUUUCAUGAACCCCUAAUUUAUAAUGAAUGACUCCAUAUUUAUAUGGAAGACACCAUGCUAGGAUUAGUAACAAGAAUUUAUAAUUCUCCAAAAUGCAAAUAUAAACCAACAUGGAUAGACCAUUGGUAGUUACCGAACCUAAAUUUACUGCAAUAACACCCACAAGAAAACUCUGCAGUACUUACUCGUUAACCUAACACCAGCGCAUUACAGGAAAGAUUUAAAAAAAGAGAAGGAAUUCGGCAAAUGACGGCCCCGCCUGUUUACCAAAAACAUCGCCUCUUGACUUAUAAUAAGAGGUCCAGCCUGCCCAGUGAAUUUUAAACGGCCGCGGUAUCCUAACCGCGCGAAGGUAGCAUAAUCACUUGUUCUUUAAAUGGGGACUCGUAUCAACGGCAUCACGAGGGUUUUACUGUCUCCUCUUUUUGAUCAGUGAAAUUGAUCUUCCCGUGAAGAAGCGGGAAUAUUUUUAUAAGACGAGAAGACCCCAUGGAGCUUUAAACCAAAUAACAACUUAACU